UACGGAGGGUGCGAGCGUUGUCCGGAAUCACUAGGCGUAAAGGGCGCGUAGGCGGCGAGGAUAGUCAACGGUGAAAGCUUGGGGCUCAACCCCGAGUCGGCCGUCGAUACUUCCUUGCUUGAGCACUGUAGAGGCAGAUGGAAUUCCGGGUGUAGCGGUGGAAUGCGUAGAGAUCCGGAAGAACACCGGUGGCGAAGGCGGUCUGCUGGGCCGAUACUGACGCUGAGGAGCGAAAGCGUGGGGAGCGAACAGG
This 253-nucleotide ribosomal RNA is filed under the name uncultured bacterium. RNAcentral describes it as "partial 16S ribosomal RNA". It matches the Rfam family "Bacterial small subunit ribosomal RNA", at positions 524 to 776 of the family's 1533-position model. The record is from RNAcentral.